RNAcentral lists this non-coding RNA (18 nucleotides) under Arabidopsis thaliana (thale cress). Lineage: Eukaryota; Viridiplantae; Streptophyta; Magnoliopsida; Brassicales; Brassicaceae. The record is from RNAcentral.
GAGGGGAUGUAGCUCAAA